ACGAACGCUGGCGGCGUGCCUAAUCCAUGCCAGUAGAACGCACAGUUUAUACCGUAGCUUGCUACACCAUAAACUGUGAGUUGCGAACGGGUGAGUAACGCGUAGGUAACCUGCCUGGUAGCGGGGGAUAACUAUUGGAAACGAUAGCUAAUACCGCAUAAUAUUGAUUAUUGCAUGAUAAUUGAUUGAAAGAUGCUAUUGCAUCACUACCAGAUGGACCUGCGUUGUAUUAGCUAGUAGGUGAGGUAACGGCUCACCUAGGCGACGAUACAUAGCCGACCUGAGAGGGUGAUCGGCCACACUGGGACUGAGACACGGCCCAGACUCCUACGGGAGGCAGCAGUAGGGAAUCUUCGGCAAUGGACGAAAGUCUGACCGAGCAACGCCGCGUGAGUGAAGAAGGUUUUCGGAUCGUAAAGCUCUGUUGUAAGAGAAGAACGGGUGUGAGAGUGGAAAGUUCACACUGUGACGGUAGCUUACCAGAAAGGGACGGCUAACUACGUG
RNAcentral lists this ribosomal RNA (504 nucleotides) under uncultured bacterium. Its description in RNAcentral is "partial 16S ribosomal RNA". It matches the Rfam family "Bacterial small subunit ribosomal RNA", at positions 29 to 507 of the family's 1533-position model. The record is from RNAcentral.